UCCGUAUUUGUAAAUCUUGGUCCGGAUUUAUUGGGCGUAAAGCGAGCGCAGGCGGUUUUUUAAGUCUGAUGUGAAAGCCUUCGGCUCAACCGAAGAAGUGCAUCGGAAACUGGGAAACUUGAGUGCAGAAGAGGACAGUGGAACUCCAUGUGUAGCGGUGAAAUGCGUAGAUAUAUGGAAGAACACCAGUGGCGAAGGCGGCUGUCUGGUCUGUAACUGACGCUGAGGCUCGAAAGUAUGGGUAGCAAACAGGAUGAGAAACCCUUGUAGUCC
Molecule: ribosomal RNA, 273 nt
Filed under: uncultured Lactobacillus sp.
Lineage: Bacteria; Bacillati; Bacillota; Bacilli; Lactobacillales; Lactobacillaceae
Description: partial 16S ribosomal RNA
Rfam family: Bacterial small subunit ribosomal RNA
Source: RNAcentral